GUCUGGGAAGUCGGUCUUCCACGAGCAACAGAUUUCGUUAUAGCCCCCUUGCGGCUUGUGUCAGCUACGCUCCACCUUUAUGAUCCUGCUGUAAGGUUAGGCACUAGCUUCCGGACCUUGAGCGGGACGAAAGCAGGGCAACUACAGGGAAGGAGAAAGGGGAUGCCUGAGGGAUCUUUGUCUGAGGCUCCGAACAAGGAAGUUGUCUUUGGAGUAGGGGGAGGAGACUGCCACCUGUUGAGGCAACCCCAUAAUAGUCAUGAGAUGAGAAAACUACGGCCAGGAAGAUAAACUGAUAGGUCCAUGCUAGAAGAGAAGUGCAGCUAUCCUGCCGUCCAGGAUUACUUGUUGGGGCCAGGUAGCUGUCAUGUCAGAGUCAUAAGGUCACUCAGGCAACUUAUAAAAAGGCUCACAUGGUGAGUAAUUAAGGCUUCCAGCUAACAAUCGGUGAGGUAUUGAAGCCUUCUGACAAUAGCCAUGUGAAUGAGCUUGGAAGCAGAUCCUCCAACCCCAGUCAGGCCUUCAUAUGAUUGCAUGCAUCCUGGUCAACAUCUUGACUGUAACCUAGAAAGAGACCGUGAGACAUAAUCAUUCAGCUACGGUGCUCCUGAAUUCCUAAGCCACAGAAACGAUGUUUGGAUGAACGGAGGCAAGAUGGUGCACUUCCCGGGUUCUUCUUCACCAACUUUCC
Rhinopithecus roxellana (golden snub-nosed monkey) is the source of this 691-nucleotide long non-coding RNA. RefSeq lists it as uncharacterized. The record is from RefSeq and is a predicted model, not a curated record. The transcript has 5 exons. NCBI's taxonomy places the organism in Eukaryota, Metazoa, Chordata, Mammalia, Primates, Cercopithecidae.